GCGCCCGGGCGGCCGUGGAGUCCAGUCCCCGGUCCCUCCGGUCAGCGAGCCUUCCGCGCGCCAGCCGGGGGGCCGGUGCUGCUGCGGGCGCCGGAUGAGGCAGCGGACAGGAGACGGGCGGCUGACGUGCAGUCGGGGAGACAGGAGAAAGUGGGGUGACAGACUGAGACCACGGUUUGGCUCAAGAGCACGGGAGGAGCUGUGCGCCUUUUCGGAGGAGAGACGGCUGCACGUUUGCACGAGGAAGACCUUCCACUGUCUCCUAAUCCGACGCUCCAAGCCCCUCGCUUAGAAAUCGU
Long non-coding RNA from Loxodonta africana (African savanna elephant), 299 nucleotides. RefSeq lists it as uncharacterized. The transcript has 2 exons. The record is from RefSeq and is a predicted model, not a curated record. NCBI's taxonomy places the organism in Eukaryota, Metazoa, Chordata, Mammalia, Proboscidea, Elephantidae.